GGGGGCGAAACAGGUUCGACGGGGGCAGCGCAGGACCAGAAAGCGAGCCGAGGUCGUCACCGCCUCGUAAAAAAGGUGGCAAAAGAUAAGUGCCAACAACGAGUCUCUCGCUCUGGCCGCUUAAGCGGCCCCGUCACGCUUAGAGAACCGUGACGGAUCGCUCCUCCGGACCGCCGCCCACGCGCCGGAGUUGUAGCGUGACCCAGUGGGCUGGCCUGCCGAGCCGCCUCUGAUCGGCGGGCGAGAACAAAGGAGGCUGGCCGCCGCCGGAUCCGGCCCCGGGGAGCCGGGGGCGGCGAGAGGCAAAGCCGGGGCUGCGCUCGGAGACGUCUGGUCAGGUGCGCUCUCGGACGCGGGGGGCAGUUCCCCGCCGCCUCCACCA
This 382-nucleotide transfer-messenger RNA is filed under the name Bacillota bacterium. It matches the Rfam family "transfer-messenger RNA". From Rfam's summary of the family: Bacterial tmRNA, also known as 10Sa RNA or SsrA, is named for its dual tRNA and mRNA-like properties. Its role is to liberate the mRNA from a stalled ribosome. Lineage: Bacteria; Bacillati; Bacillota. The record is from RNAcentral.